Non-coding RNA from Kogia breviceps (pygmy sperm whale), 5473 nucleotides. NCBI's taxonomy places the organism in Eukaryota, Metazoa, Chordata, Mammalia, Artiodactyla, Physeteridae. The record is from RefSeq and is a predicted model, not a curated record.
CCUCCUGGCCCACAAGAUAUAAGAUCCAAGAUACAUGGUCCGGGCCCCUGUUCCAGCCUGUAGCAUCCUCAGGGAGGGAGGGGGAGGAGAGGUGCCCUGGGACCGGGAGCUGGUGUCUGGGCCUGGCACUCAGUCUCCCCAUUGCCCUGUCUCCACCUCCACCCCUACCCCACACCAGGAGCACCUAAGCAGGUCUCUAGCAGCUCUGCGCUCCAACAAGAUAAUUACCCUGAAGGGUGAACAGGGCCAGGCUGGCAUCCAAGGCCCACCAGGGCCACCAGGCCCUCCUGGACCGAGUGGACCUCUGGGGCACCCAGGACUGCCAGGGCCCAUGGGGCCACCCGGCUUACCUGGGCCUCCUGGACCAAAGGGAGACCCGGGAAUCCAGGGCUACCACGGCCGGAAGGGAGAACGGGGCAUGCCAGGGAUGCCGGGCAAACACGGAGCAAAGGGGGCUCCUGGAAUUGCUGCCGUGGGGAUGAAGGGUGAGCCUGGGAUCCCAGGAGCCAAGGGAGACCCAGGAGCAACAGGGAAGCCGGGGCCCCCAGGUUUGCCGGGAAAGACGGGGCAGAGGGGUGAGAAGGGGGCUGCGGGCCCCCCUGGGCUACUCGGCCUCCUAGGGCAGAAGGGAGAAAAAGGUGAUGCUGGCAACUCCAUUGGAGGGGGCAGAGGGGAGCCUGGUCCCCCAGGGCUCCCUGGGCCCCCAGGGCCAAAGGGGGAAGCUGGAACUGAUGGCCAGGCGGGCGCCCCAGGACGGCAAGGAGACAAGGGAGAGCCUGGAGCAGCUGGAGAACAGGGACCUGCUGGCCCCAAGGGCUCCAAGGGCGAACCCGGGAAAGGAGAGAUGGUGGACUACAACGGAAACAUCAACGAGGCUCUCCAGGAGAUCCGGACACUGGCCUUGAUGGGGCCCCCUGGUCUUCCUGGGCAGAUUGGCCCACCCGGAGCUCCAGGGAUCCCAGGCCAGAAGGGGGAGAUUGGACUGCCCGGCCCUCCCGGACAUGAUGGGGAAAAGGGACCUCGAGGCAAACCAGGAGAUGUGGGCCCUCCUGGUCCCCAAGGCCCCCCAGGAAAGGCUGGGCCUGCAGGAAUGAAGGGAGAAGAUGGCCUUCCGGGGAACCCAGGAGAGAAGGGGGAGAAAGGGGAGAUGGGGCAGCCAGGCCCACCGGGUCUAGACGGCCCAACUGGGGAGAAAGGAGAACCAGGUGACCAAGGGAGACCUGGAGUGACCGGAUUGCCUGGCCCCAUCGGGCUCCCAGGAUUCACGGGAGAGAAAGGAGAAGCCGGGGAGAAGGGUGACCCAGGAGUGGAGGUUCCUGGGCCACCAGGGCCAGAGGGACCUCCCGGACCUCCGGGGCUCCAAGGCGUUCCUGGACCAAAGGGGGAAGCAGGGCUAGAUGGAGCAAAAGGAGAGAAGGGCAUCCAGGGAGAAAAAGGAGACCGAGGUCCUCUGGGAUUACCCGGAGCUUCAGGUUUGGACGGCAGGCCUGGGCCACCGGGUACUCCAGGACCAAUUGGAGUUCCAGGCCCAGCGGGACCAAAGGGAGAGAGGGGCAGCAAAGGUGACCCUGGGAUGACAGGACCAACGGGAGCAGCUGGGCUUCCUGGUUUACACGGACCACCCGGGGACAAAGGAAACCGGGGACACCGAGGUUUUAAAGGAGAGAAAGGGGAGCCGGGGUUACCAGGGCUGGACGGACUGGAUGCCCCGUGCCCACUGGUACGGCAUCACCCUCCCUUGCCUGCAUGGCCAGUGUGGGCUUCCCCACGUGUGCGGUUCGUGCCUGCGUGCCUCUUCCGCUGCCCUGCACACUCCCGCUUGUCACUCUUCGCUCUGUAGACACCAAGGGUCACCCUGCCUUAGCUGGUCCUCAGGGGGCUCCCGCCACGUUCUCCUCUUGCAUGCAGAGUCUGCCAGGAUGCUUUCUUGGCUUCCUCCUGCAGCUGCUUCAACAGCCCAUCACCUUAAUGUCAGCGGCCCUCCCCACCCGACGCCAACCUUAGCUGCAUCAGACCCUCCUUUCAGAACUGCUUCUAGACAAGCCUGCCACCAGAAAGAGAGUCAGGGAAGUGGAUUCUCAGGACAAGUUAUUAGGACUGUGACUUCCCUUCCUUCACACACUGCAGUUAGUUGGAAAAGCGUUGGCAAAGCAUUUCAAUGAGAUGCCUGCGUUGGCCCCACGUCCCGCUCCACUCCAGCGUCACACGAUUUAGCAGAGGGAAGAUGGGCACCUCAUGAACAUGGGACAGAAUGAGGAGUUCUAGAACCAAAGGAGAGCAGGGGGUACCCUGACUGUUCUUCCGGCAUAGAUCUGGGAUCACUGCCCCGGUGACACCCCCAGAACCAGGGGAUGGUCCAAAAUCAGGAUUCUAGAUCCUGUAGGGUUCAUCCUUUUUGCUUAAAUCCCAGAAGACACUACGAGACCCUCCCUUGGUUUCCCUUUUUCUUUCAUCUUUAGGUGGUCACAACCAAAAGGUCUGGAAGAACCUGGAAAGGUUGAGAAUGUAGUUAAGGAAGGGAAGGGAGAGACAGGGAGGGAGGGGAGACAUUUAGGACCCGCUCCCAAGCAUGUCCCACCUAAGUGGUGGCAUUUCUGGUCCCGCUGGGCCCAGUCCCUCUCCAAGCAGGGACACCCGAGGCUUCUACAGCAACCCUUUCAACAUACUGCAGGGGAAGUAGAAGAUGGCACUUCACUCCAAGGCAAUUGGCUCAAAAACUUCCUGCUCUCCUAAAUUUCUGGAGGAGGUUUGGAGCUCAUGGAUCUAGUUUCAUACCAGUAAUUGUCAGAUGUGCAUUCCCAGCCUCACAUCCCCACCCCAGGGUCACACAGGAAUUAUCUUUGAACAGAAGAGAAAAAGUUUUUUUUAAAAAAAAAAAAAAGAUGCUGUGUGACCCUGACAGGGGACCAUAGAGCCCCUUGAAGGGACUUUUUAGGACCACACAGGCAACACGAAGGACGGCAGAGCAAGCAGCGUUGCAAGCCUCCCCUUCCCGCCGCGCUCCCCACCUUCCCACCCCACCCCCCUUGAACCCCCAGCAUGCAGCGCGCACCGCACAGGCGCCUUUCUCAGCCGUGGAAUCUCCCCCACCCUCCGCGGCACCUCUGUUAACCAGCAGCCAGGCGUCCCCUCUGCCGUGACCCUUCCCACGAUCUGAACACUUGAGUUCUGCCGGCUGCAGCCCUGGCCUCCCUGCUUCUCACCCACACACUGUCACUCCCCUCUGCCUGCCCAGCCCUCGUCUGUCCCCCCUGCCACCAUCCACGUGCCAGUGGGAAUGCCCCUGUGGUCCACGGAGGCUCCUCUCCCUUCCAGAGACCGUGUGAAGUGUCGCAUUGUGGCGGGCUGGGGAAAGAGACAGAGGUCAUCAUGGAACCCUGGGAUGCACCACCUUGCCCUGCAGACCCUCCCCGACCCACAAGGGACAAUGAAAGUUAUCUUGAUUUGGCCUUUAAUGCAAACUGGCAUUUUCUCCAAUAACAUUUGUGUGUUACUUUUGCUGUGGAAGUGUACAUGCCUUGCCUUUCUUGUUUCUCAUUGUUGCUGUUCGCCGUCUCCUGCACUGCGUUACUGUGGACGUGGGGCGGGGCUGGGGGGGCUGUUGAUCAGGAAUUUUAGUACAAGGUAACUAGACUUCUGCGGCCCCCGUACAGGGCCGGCUGUCUGCUGGAUGCCAGGUGAGUAGUUUCGGCACCUGUCAUGGGUGGAUGAGUAGGUCCAGGGCAGAGGGCGUUCCCAUUCCGGCUUCGCGGGGGCUGACCACUUGCUGCGGUCCCCUGAAACCCCGUGUGCAUCUCUUUCUCUGCCCUGGAGCCUGGGAUUCUAAAAUCUGGGCUGCAAUUCUAAUAGACCCGGACUGAGAACCAGGUCUUUGCCCUCGUUCAACCUCACCCUCCCCACCUGCCUCUCAGUGGUUUCUAGGUUCCCGCAGGGAGUGCCAGAGCAGCCAGGAUAGCGGGGCCCGAGGACACUCGGGACGUCCUGAGGCUGCAGGUGCUCUGGAGGUGCACCAGCAAGGGGGACAAGCGGCACCCGGUGGAUUCCCAUUCCACCACUGCCUCUUCCCCCCAAGUCCCCAGCAACGGCUGUGCCAGGAGCCCCGCCUCCUUGCUGAAGGCACCUCAGGCCCACAUUGCAAUGCCUGUGAAAUCACCCCUCCUCCUCCUUACUGAUCACCAGAUGUCCUCCCCCAGCUGCUAAGGAAGAGAGAAAAGAUCAGAGAACGGGAGAAGUGGGGGGUGGUCGUUUCAUAGAGCCGCACCUUCCCCAGGUUUUACGAAGGAGGAAACCGAGGCCCCCAAGGCCCCAAAAGCUGAGUGAGGCCCACGGGCACCCCGCACUCAGUACAGCCCAAGGGGAGACCAGCAGACCUCUGGUCUGUCCUCUCCACGGCAUUCAGGUCACCUCUGCUUGCUGAGCCCACAGGCUAGCAUCUUGGCCUUGCACUGUAACUACAUGUGAGCUUGGCAAAUGGGCAGACGGGUGGGCUUGCUUCCUGCCUCAUUUCGGCUCGGCCCUGGGGUAGAGAAGAGAAACAGACUAUAUUGGGGGGCCGCACCCUGAUCAGCCGCCGCAGUGUUUGUGGCCCUUGUUCCCCCUGUCCUGCUGCUUGGUGGGCCAUCUCGCAGAGUCUGAGCCGUCUGCCUUCCUUCCUCACUGCAGGGUGAAGAUGGCUUGCCAGUCCAGGGCUGCUGGAAUAAGUGAUGCCUCUAACCUGGGAUUGGCCUGUGUGUGUGUUUGUAAAUAGAAUAUUUAUUUUUAUACAGUUUUCACUUUUUGAAAAUGCCCGAAGUAUGAUGCAUCUUACAGAUUAUUAAAAAAAAAAGGAAAGCCUGCAUAUUUUGUACAGAAAAUACCAACCUCUUCCCUUUUGUUUACAAGAUGUUUUGUAUACGUCUAAGACUCUAAUACACUUUUCGUUAGUGAGUACGGCUGUACGUUUGCAUGAUAUUUGUGCACACUUAUUAAGUAUUGAAGCUUAAUAAAUUAUUGUGUUCCAGUGCCAAAGGGGGCCAACCAGCACUCAGGUGCUGGCUAGUUUAUGUGUGACUUCAGAGAUACGUGGAGUUCCAUGGUGUUUGCUAAGCUAGGUGUGUCUCAGAAUAUUUUAAACUCUUAUGGAUUUUCAUUAUUAAAAAAAUUAAACAUGGCAAUUCUUGAUCCUGAUUCAUCACUAAAUUAAAUACAUUCUUUUCUUGUGAAAUCAGGAAGUCCCAGAAGUGGGGGUCCUCAGAAGUUUAACGGUCUGAACCAUUAAGUCCAACAGACGGAGGGCCGGGACUGUACUAAGCAAUGUCUAUUAUAAUGUACCCCAAGUUCAUUACAGUGCCACAUGAGUAUGUAAAGUUCAGUUGUGCUGAAACCUUCGAAGCCCCCAAGGUUACAAAGGGCUACUUGCUACUGCUUUUGUUUUUUGGUGCUUUUUUGGUUUGUUUUUCUUUCUUUGGGGCUGCAAUCACUAGUAGCAGCUAUU